UUGGAGUGUAGUUUUUAUUGGAGUAUAGUUUUUAUUGGAGUGUAGUUUUUAUUGGAGUAUAGUUUUUAUUGGAGUGUAGUUUUUAUUGGAGUGUAGUUUUUAUUGGAGUGUAGUUUUUAUUGGAGUAUAGUUUCUUAUUGGGAGUGUAGUUUUUAAUGGAGUAUAGUUUUUAUUGGAGUGUAGUUUCUUAUUAGAGUAUAGUUUUUAUUGGAGUAUAUUUUUUAUUGGAGUGUAGUUUUUAUUGGAGUGUAGUUUUUAUUGGAGUAUAGUUUUUAUUGGAGUGUAGUUUUUAAUGGAGUGUAUUUUUUAUUGGAGUGUAGUUUCUUAUUAGAGUAUAGUUUUUAUUGGAGUGUAGUUUUUAUUGGAGUAUAUUUUUUUUAUUGGAGUAUAGUUUUUAUUGGAGUAUAGUUUUUUAUUGGAGUAUAGUUUUUAUUGGAGUAUAGUUUUUAUUGGAGUGUAGUUUUUUUAAAUUGGAGUAUAGUUUUUAUUGGAGUAUAGUUUAUUUAUUGUAGUAUAGUUUUUUAUUGUAGUAUAGUUUUUUUUAUAUUGGAGUAUAGUUUUUUAUUGCAGCAGAGCAGAAUCAAAAACAUCAAAGGGUGGUGGGGGGUUGGCCACAUCUGAUUUUUAACAUCUAUAGUGGUUACAAGCCAAG
Molecule: long non-coding RNA, 652 nt
Organism: Ictalurus punctatus (channel catfish)
Lineage: Eukaryota; Metazoa; Chordata; Actinopteri; Siluriformes; Ictaluridae
Source: Ensembl